CAUGCCCGAACGCACACUUUCUUUGUGAAAUCCAACCCGUUGACCCCGCACCGGUUCUCGCCCCCUUCUCGCAUUUCGCCAGAAUUUUUGACAUUACGUAAGCCACGACACCACGUUGGCUUUCGCGCAACCACCCGCUGUCCCACAUAACCCUACAGCGACCCCAACAAUAUUCUCGGCUCCACGAACGACGUAGUCUAACCUCCGUUCACAGCGUGAAUUAGCAGCAAGUGCCUUAAAUUGAUUUGCCAUCACUAGUGUAACAAAUUCGCACUGAACAUAUUCAUAUGGCAAGAGACAUAUUACAUACAUAAAAGAGCUAAUAAAGCUAAACAACAGAAAAAGUAUCUAUUAGAAAAACAAGCAACAAAGUGGACAAUUAAUUCAAUAUGGAACAACCAUUUAGACCUACGCAUCAAGUAUUCAAUGAAAUGAUCAAACAGGAAAAUAUUGAUGAUGAAUCAUUUAAUAAUCAAAUUGUCAAAGAGGAAAUAAUUUAUGAAACAAGCCAUCGCGAUGACUAUCAAUUAUUACA
Acyrthosiphon pisum (pea aphid) is the source of this 535-nucleotide long non-coding RNA. RefSeq lists it as uncharacterized. The transcript is spliced from 3 exons. NCBI's taxonomy places the organism in Eukaryota, Metazoa, Arthropoda, Insecta, Hemiptera, Aphididae. The record is from RefSeq and is a predicted model, not a curated record.